UUUGUAUUGUCAGUCUUCCAAUUCAGGGCAUUCCCACUGUUUAAAAAGGAGGAUCAAAGGGUGUGCUCCAAUUACAGAGGGGCCACAAUCUUAAGCCUCCCUGGAAAGGUCUAUUCAGGGGUCCUGGAGAUGAGGGUCCGUCAGAUAGUCGACCUCGAAUUCAGGAAGAGCAAUGUGGUUUUUGUCCUGGUCGUGGAACACUGGACCAGCUUUACACCCUCAGCAGGGUCCUGGAGGGUGAAUGGGAGUUCGCCCAACCGGUCUACAUGUGUUUUGUGGACUUGGAGAAGGCAUUUGACUGUGUCCCUCGGGGAACCCUGUGGAGGUUCCUGUGGGAGUAUAGGUACUGGGCGUUUUGAUAUGGGGUGUUAGGUCCCUGUACGACCGGUAUCAGAGUCUGGUCCGCAUUGCCGACACUAAGUCGGGCUCAUUUCCAGU
Molecule: long non-coding RNA, 438 nt
Organism: Poecilia latipinna (sailfin molly)
Lineage: Eukaryota; Metazoa; Chordata; Actinopteri; Cyprinodontiformes; Poeciliidae
Exons: 2
Source: RefSeq, a predicted model, not a curated record